Molecule: long non-coding RNA, 623 nt
Filed under: Helianthus annuus (common sunflower)
Lineage: Eukaryota; Viridiplantae; Streptophyta; Magnoliopsida; Asterales; Asteraceae
Description: hypothetical non coding rna
Source: RNAcentral
UUUUUAUCGAGAAUCAUCUACAGACUUUCAUUCUCCAGUAAAUCAACACCACCACCACCCUAGCCCGCACUACUCCAUCAUCGAUCCCUAGGUUUCCAAUGGGGUUCAGGUAACUACAAGGUUUGGAUCUCACAACACUCGUCAAUGGAAGAGUGCUAGUUGUGGUAGCUCGGGGAGAUGGGACUUACCGGCGACAAAACCUAAACAUAAAUUCGUUAUCUUCGUCGGAAACGUUUUCGAUUGAUGACACAUUGUUUGCCAAAUAUAAGCAUACCACCACUUUCCUCUUCCCUGCUCUGGUCAGAUUUAAGAAUUACAACAAAUUUUUUAGUUUAUUGUUCAAUUGGAAGCUAAUUGAAGAAAAUUGUUUUAUUGAUAUCUGAAAAUUUGUGUUCAGAUUCAUUGUGAAAGCUAUUAGCUACCAGAUGAACUUGCAAUUUUGAAUCAAUUUGUGAAUUUCUCUAUCAAAUCAGAUGUGUGUGCUCUAGAUUAUAGUGAUUUUGUUUCAAGGUGCACCAACAGUUGGAAUGGGACAAGAAGCUAUCAAGAGCUCAUUUGAAUUUGUUAAGAAGUUUUAUUUGCGAAUUAUAUAUAGGGGAAUUGUAUUAAAAAAACCAAACUAA